Hemicordylus capensis (graceful crag lizard) is the source of this 920-nucleotide long non-coding RNA. RefSeq lists it as uncharacterized. The transcript is spliced from 2 exons. The record is from RefSeq and is a predicted model, not a curated record. NCBI's taxonomy places the organism in Eukaryota, Metazoa, Chordata, Lepidosauria, Squamata, Cordylidae.
CUUGGGGCUGGCAAGGAGGGUGGCAAUGCUUCCUCUGCCCCAAAUGAGGAGCCUUCAUUAAGGAGAAGAUAUCAAGAUAGAAGAUAUUAUUAUGAAGCUCACCUGGAAUUCAAGGAUUUGUUUCUGCUUGUUCUCUUAGGGCUCUGAGUGAAAGUUCAUAUCCAAGAAACAUAGCAGCACUCAUUGGGAAUCCUCGCACUGCAUUCACUGUGAGGCCCUUGAAAAAGACCUGCUCAGAACAGGAAAGGAAAGUUAAGAUGUCAGCCCCAGAAUCAAGGAAGUGUGAUCCAUGGAUGGCCCAAAGGCAUGAUUUCCCUAUUUCCAGCUCAAACACUAACAAAUAGUGUGUGCGCGCUUUAGCUAUAGCCAUAACAUCAGCUACAGCUUUUGCUCCAGCCUUGAUUCCAGCUUGGAUCCUAGCCUCCAGUUUGGACCUGUCUCCAGACCCAAAUCACACACCACGUUUGGCUACCCUAAAGAAUCGGACCUUAGGCAUCCAACCACCUCUGGAUUUUUCUUGGAACCAGACAUUAUCCUGGUUUCCCAGCUUGUGAGUGGCACGUUUGCCUCUCCUUUGCCCUGCCUUCCUGCCUUGUCCCUGUGAGGAGACCCGCCAACACAUGCUACCCUGCAAGUGUGACCGACAUACCAUCAGAUAUUGAAUUAGGUAUUACUAAUUGACUAUCUUUCUAACUCUCCUCAACGUCUUCUCUCUUUUCUUUAAGUCUAAAGCUUCUCUUCAGGCCCUUAUUCUAGUUAACCCUGAGCAGAUUCUGUAAUAAUUUGAACCUUAAGCUAAAAUGCCUCUUUGUGAGAUUCCAAAUUAGCAUUAUUAGUUAAUAUUUUAUUGCAUUCUUGCCUGCUUAAUCAAUUUUUAUAUUCCUGUACCCCUAAAUCCCUAAAUAAAUCUGAUUGUACCA